Molecule: transfer RNA, 78 nt
Filed under: Nitrososphaerota archaeon
Lineage: Archaea; Thermoproteati; Nitrososphaerota
Also listed under: 3 other names
Description: Thaumarchaeota archaeon tRNA-Arg
Rfam family: tRNA
About the family: Transfer RNA (tRNA) molecules are approximately 80 nucleotides in length. Their secondary structure includes four short double-helical elements and three loops (D, anti-codon, and T loops). Further hydrogen bonds mediate the characteristic L-shaped molecular structure. tRNAs have two regions of fundamental functional importance: the anti-codon, which is responsible for specific mRNA codon recognition, and the 3' end, to which the tRNAs corresponding amino acid is attached (by aminoacyl-tRNA synthetases). tRNAs cope with the degeneracy of the genetic code in two manners: having more than one tRNA (with a specific anti-codon) for a particular amino acid; and 'wobble' base-pairing, i.e. permitting non-standard base-pairing at the 3rd anti-codon position.
Source: RNAcentral
GGGCCCAUAGCUCAGCAUGGACAGAGUGUUGGACUUCUAAUCCAAUGGUCGGGGGAUCGAGGCCCCCUGGGCCCGCCA